RNAcentral lists this small RNA (363 nucleotides) under Ventosimonas gracilis. RNAcentral's name for it is "Pseudomonas sRNA CrcZ". It matches the Rfam family "Pseudomonas sRNA CrcZ". The record is from Rfam by way of RNAcentral. Lineage: Bacteria; Pseudomonadati; Pseudomonadota; Gammaproteobacteria; Pseudomonadales; Ventosimonadaceae.
ACAACAACAAAAACAAGCAGAGCUAACCCAAUAAAAACAACAGCAACUCCGGAAAAAUAACAACAACAAGUACAGGGAGAGUAAGCUAACUGAUUUUUUUGGAGAGGAUGCCGGUGGCUUAAUCGCCUCCUGAUGCCAGUAGAGAACAACAAAACUGCUUAACAAGGCAGCGACAUACUGGGAUUUGCUUGCGGCAUAAGUUCCAAAGCAAUCCGUUUGGCAUUUAAUGCCCGGCUUCGGGCAUUCGUAUUUCGUUUGUUGGGGUAAUAAAAACAACAACCCAACAAAACAAUAAAAACCAUUGUUGAUAUUGGGAGGCCAUGCCUCCCAUUGGUUUUUCCGCGCUAUUUCUGCCCUAUCGUC